Molecule: ribosomal RNA, 506 nt
Filed under: uncultured bacterium
Lineage: Bacteria
Description: partial 16S ribosomal RNA
Rfam family: Bacterial small subunit ribosomal RNA
Source: RNAcentral
AUUGAACGCUGGCGGCAGGCCUAACACAUGCAAGUCGGACGGUAGCACAGAGGAGCUUGCUCCUCGGGUGACGAGUGGCGGACGGGUGAGUAAUGUCUGGGGAUCUGCCCGAUAGAGGGGGAUAACCACUGGAAACGGUGGCUAAUACCGCAUAACGUCGCAAGACCAAAGAGGGGGACCUUCGGGCCUCUCACUAUCGGAUGAACCCAGAUGGCAUUAGCUAGGAGGCGGGGUAACGGCCCACCUAGGCGACGAUCCCUAGCUGGUCUGAGAGGGUGACCAGCCACACUGGACCUGAGACACGGUCCAGACGCCUACGGGAUGCAGCAGUGGGGAAUAUUGCACAAUGGGCGCAGGCCUGAUGCAGCCAUGCCGCGUGUAUGAGGAAGGCCUUCGGGUUGUAAAGUACUUUCAGCGGGGAGGAAGGCGAUAAGGUUAAUAACCUUGUCGAUUGACGUUACCCGCAGAAGAAGCACCGGCUAACUCCGUGCCAUCCGCCGCAGUAA